RNAcentral lists this transfer RNA (70 nucleotides) under Trichonephila inaurata madagascariensis. Its description in RNAcentral is "tRNA-Cys". It matches the Rfam family "tRNA". Rfam says of the family: Transfer RNA (tRNA) molecules are approximately 80 nucleotides in length. Their secondary structure includes four short double-helical elements and three loops (D, anti-codon, and T loops). The record is from RNAcentral. Lineage: Eukaryota; Metazoa; Arthropoda; Arachnida; Araneae; Nephilidae.
GGGGGGAUAGCUCAGUGGUAGAGCAUUUGACUGCAGAUCGAGGGUCCCGGUUCAAACCGGGGGCCCCCUU